Molecule: unclassified non-coding RNA, 221 nt
Filed under: Hevea brasiliensis (rubber tree)
Lineage: Eukaryota; Viridiplantae; Streptophyta; Magnoliopsida; Malpighiales; Euphorbiaceae
Source: RNAcentral
GGAUGAAUCAGUUGGAAGGAAUAUGCCAUUUGUAUUUCUUGAUCGUGUGAAAGAUGACUUUAAACAACGUUAUGGUUCAAGUAUAAAGGAUGAGAACCCUCACCCACUUGCAGAUGAUGAGGACGAUGAUGAUUUAUUUCUAGACCGAUUCAGUGUUGCAUACACUCUUGACAGAGAAUUUGGGCCACGGCUUAAAGAGCACAUGCAAUAUUGCAUGAACC